Molecule: ribosomal RNA, 472 nt
Filed under: uncultured bacterium
Lineage: Bacteria
Description: partial 16S ribosomal RNA
Rfam family: Bacterial small subunit ribosomal RNA
Source: RNAcentral
GACGGACGCUGGCGGCGUGCUUAACACAUGCAAGUCGAGCGAGAAACCUUCGGGUUUCUAGCGGCGGACGGGUGAGUAACACGUGGGUAACCUGCCUCAAAGAGGGGGAUAGCCUUCCGAAAGGAAGAUUAAUACCGCAUAAUAUUACAGUUUCGCAUGAAGCAGUAAUUAAAGGAGUAAUCCGCUUUGAGAUGGACCCGCGGCGCAUUAGCUAGUGGGAGAGGUAACGGCUCACCAAGGCAACGAUGCGUAGCCGACCUGAGAGGGUGAUCGGCCACAUUGGAACUGAGACACGGUCCAGACUCCUACGGGAGGCAGCAGUGGGGAAUAUUGCACAAUGGGCGAAAGCCUGAUGCAGCAACGCCGCGUGAGUGAUGAAGGUCUUCGGAUUGUAAAGCUCUGUCUUUUGGGACGAUAAUGACGGUACCAAAGGAGGAAGCCACGGCUAACUACGUGCCAGCAGCCGCAGUAA